UCUUCCGUAGUAUAACGGUCAGUAUACGAGCUUGUCACGCUCGGGAUCCGGGUUCGACCCCCGGCGGGAGAG
The sequence is a transfer RNA, 72 nucleotides long. It matches the Rfam family "tRNA". Rfam says of the family: Transfer RNA (tRNA) molecules are approximately 80 nucleotides in length. Their secondary structure includes four short double-helical elements and three loops (D, anti-codon, and T loops). Further hydrogen bonds mediate the characteristic L-shaped molecular structure. tRNAs have two regions of fundamental functional importance: the anti-codon, which is responsible for specific mRNA codon recognition, and the 3' end, to which the tRNAs corresponding amino acid is attached (by aminoacyl-tRNA synthetases). tRNAs cope with the degeneracy of the genetic code in two manners: having more than one tRNA (with a specific anti-codon) for a particular amino acid; and 'wobble' base-pairing, i.e. permitting non-standard base-pairing at the 3rd anti-codon position. The record is from Rfam.